This 3805-nucleotide long non-coding RNA is filed under the name Triticum aestivum (bread wheat). Its description in RNAcentral is "long non-coding RNA (TAES_LNC016552)". The record is from RNAcentral. Lineage: Eukaryota; Viridiplantae; Streptophyta; Magnoliopsida; Poales; Poaceae.
CGCCUUUCAAGCCAGCGGCCCUCGGAACGGCUGAGCAACGACACGGCGGCGGCGGCAGCGGCGGCGCCUAACCGCUUCGCCCACUCGAGCCGGACGCGAGGAGCACGGGGAAGCUCCUCCUCCGUCACCGGGAAACAGAAGAUCCGCCGCCCUGGUCCCUGCUUUCCCCCGUGCCCGUGGUGGGUGGGCGAGCAACAGGUGGUAGAUUCUCCUCCAACUCGCGUUGUGUGGUUGCUUGCUAGUGCUUUGUGGCUCCGACUUUUUCGGUACUACAGCUCCUCUAAUCGCUCGACCCUGUGGAUCACGCAUAUAUGAGUCCCGUACACACUGCUGCGCUGGGAUAUUGGGAUUUUCUUUUGCCGAUUUCGUGAAACGUUUCAGAUGCAUAGCGAUACCACGUUUCAGGUGUCAGUCAAAAAUGGGCUGGCAGGUUCAUAGUGUCAAUGGCACAUUAUGUUUUCUCUGCAUCGGCCAAGUCGGGAGAUGGACCUUUUGUCAAUGAUGAGAGUAUUACUUUCAGAACACUUAGUCUGAAUAUCUUAGCACACAUCUGUCUGAGAAUUGAGAUACAUACACCAAUAUCGCUGCCAAAACUGGCUUUUGGUGCCAAACUCAAAUAUGCGUUCACUAAUUUCAGCUUGGAGGAAGUUCCUGUCCAUGGCGACCCAGUGUUUGCCUUUCGUGGAAUUGUUCACCUUUUCUUUCCUUGCCUGUUGAUAUGUACAGUUACUGUGGAAUUAUCUGAAGAAAUUAAUGAAGUGGAAGGGUGCUUGGACUGCCCUUUAUAGUUUGGCUGCUCAAUUGAUUGGUAUUAUUACCCUUUUGCACAUUCAUUUGCAUGUCAUGAAAAUUUCUGAAAAUCUGCAGUCCUUUAAAAAAUAUCAAAUAUAGUUGGCCAAUUUCGUAAAAUUGUAGCGCAUGUUCAGUUGUUAUGCAGCUUACAUAUGGGAUAUUUGUUAUUUUUUUGUUUUUACACAUUCGUACCUCUAUUCGUGUAGUAAAGAUAAUUGAUGGAUAUUCACCAGUUAUGUUAUUUUCAGCUUGAGGCAUAACUUUAGCUUUCCUUCCCACAUUUUUUUGACUCACUUUAGAGCACUCAUUUUGACUAGUUUAAACCUAUAUCAUAUCUUUAGUAUAAACUGUCCCAUGCAAGAAAUGCCUGCCCGCUAGUCUUUGUUUCCCCGAUCAGAAAGAAGACACACAAGCACACACAUACCACCACCAUUUAUAGAUACAAACUGCUAAACACUUUCUAAAUAACCAUUUGCAGAGAAGAUUUAAGAGGAUUCACAUAGAUAAUACCUUAAGUGUACGAACCUUUGGGCCUGCAAAUAGCAGUGUCCCAUGUCAAAGAGCAAGAUCAAAGCAGGGUUUAUACUGAAUGGCAGGGCAAUUCUCCUUUGGCAGGGACGGUGAUAGCAUAGGCCAUUGUCCAGGACCUGCUACAUUGGCAUCCAUGCCAGAGGAGAACUGCACUGUGAUUCUCACCCUGAACACUCCAUAGUCACCAGUUUGUUUGUGGAGGAAGACCGUUGGUCUGUUUUUAGUCACACAAUGCUCUUCAUGUUACUCUUUCGUGCACAAUGUGCUUCUUGCCACUCACUGCAUGCUACCAUUGCAAAUAUAUAUAGGGCAGAAAUGAGUAAGAAAUCUGGAUAUGCUGCCGGAUAUGCUUCCAGAUCAGGAUAAUGCUUUCGAGAGGUAUUCCUCUAGCUCUGCCUUUCCCAUCUCCUCUGUCUUUUUGAGCUGAACCGUUGGACCAUAGAAAGAGAAUGACCCUUGCGCUUGUGCUAUCCCGUGCAAAGGUACUGACAUCACUAUUGCUAGUUAAACAAGUUUGAUUACUGAAAGAGUUCCGCAUAUGAGAUGACACAUUUUGCAUUAGAUACCAACGUGCAUCUUGAUUCAGUGGUUAAAUCCUAUGUAAACUGAUUCAAACAGGUUUACUGACGAUUCUAGUAAAUUUGGUAUUUUGAGCUAUUAUAAUUUAUACGUCUAGAAGUUCUGAUUGGCGCUAAUGUGUUGCUUGCAGCUUGCUAUGGACUAAAACAAACUGGGUACACUGUACAGCACUUGAGCUUGAGAAAGUGGUUAAAACAUACUACAGCAAUCAGAAACGAUUUUGCAUGACUACAAACCAUAGGCAUAAUUUCAAAUGAAAAUUAUUGAUUUUCUAUAUCGAAGAACAUGCCUGUUUCACAAUUCAUACUAAAACCAACUGACUGACCGCUGAAAAGCAUGCUAGCAGGCAACACCGCAUCACAUUAGCAUGGGUAACCAGAUUUACGCCAAUCCCAACAACACCACCUGAACAAUGAAAUUUGUAUUGAUGAAAGCAUAUUUUGUUUGGUACGGGCUUUGUUGUAGGGGGAAUUAAGUACUUUGGUCUAUGCCUAGUGCAUUGGAAAAUAUGGUGAGAAAGGUAAAUCCAACUUUUUAAUUGUUUACCUGAUAAAGGGCAAUGUAUUAAUAUCAAGCUAAUAUCAAUUAUACCUGACCUCUGCAACAACACGAUGUUAAGGGCAAGUCGAGACAUCAAGGAUGCGCGUCUAAUUUUUUUUUAAAGCCAAAGCAAUCAACGGCAUGCCACAACAAACAUCAACUUUAACCACCACCAUUGACAACACCCAAACUACAAGAGAGGUUCUCCAAAAACAUAUGCCACCACUGCCACUUUGCUAGUGAUGUUUGUUCAAAUAUAAGCUUGAAUUUAUGGAGCUAGCUGGAAUGGCUCACAAGUUACAUAAUUUAUGGAGAAGACAUUUGCACUGUCUUCUUCUAUUGAUUCAUGCAGCUACUUCCCUAACCAUGCAUAAACACAUUCAAAGGUCAAGCAGAUUUUGUUCUUUUUUCAUGUGAUAGAGGACCAUUUAUAUUAUUCUUUGUCGCGGAACAUCCCCAUGGAUCUUCCUAUUUGGUGCUGUCACAAGCUUCCUGAUCUGUGGAAGAAUUUAGUAAGUAUCUGAUUCUCCUGAAGAGCACUGAGCUUUACAGAAAGCAUGCACCAGCUGCUGCUGUGGGCGUCGAAAGGCCGCGUAACAUACUGAUCUUAAAUUGAGACGAUCUUUCACAUGCCACUCGCAGGGCUUUACCUUUUAGUAGUGCAAAAUAUACCACGUGUUGCCAAAAAAAUUUGUGUGUGUGUGUGGGGGGGUACCACUUGUGGCUAUUGAUUAUUUUCUUGUUAUUUUCAGAUUUCACCAGAAUUUGCAAUGUCUUGCUAUUUUACCACAUUUUGUUACGAAAUGUUGCAGAUAAGACCGGGAAAAUGACAAAGCAGAUAUCACACUACAUUUAGCCUCACCGACGAUCUAUUCUGCACCAACACAAGAAGUAGAGGAAAUAGUCCAUCCCUAAAACCAAAGCGAGAUGACGGAAAAGGGCAAACGAAUGCUGGCUGCGCAAAGUAUUACAAAUUGCCGACAGAUGCUACGGUGCUUACAUGUUACUCCGUCUAUUCAAGAACAUACAUAGUUUUUGACAAGACAUGAUCAACUGUAAUGUUAAUAUUUUUCAUAUGAUCCAAAUAUCUUUAUGCGUAUUAGACUAUUAGUAGCCAAAUUAAACAAAGUUUGUGCAUAAGGUUGAACAAGUUUGACCAGUGGUAAAUCCUGAAGUCGUCAGUUUUUCCUGGCGAAGCCCGGAGGGAGUAAAUUUCAUGCCUACUAGUACUGGAAGAAUGAAACUUGUUGAAGAUGCCACAGCCAGAGGUGCCUGGAGAUAUGCUCGGUAUGCAAGUCUUCAAGGAAGGCAGAUGCAUAAGCGGAUAUGCUGAUGCCAGCUUCAGCACCAACUGCCAUUGUGG